UAAAAGUUCUUGCUGGCGAAUUCCGUCUCAAACAAAUUUAAAACUUAUGCGUCCACAUCUUUAGAAGACUGCAAGACCGUUACUCUCAAAGCAAGGCUCCUAAAUUGAUCCCUUCUCCAAAACUGAGAUGAAAAUUGGGAGUUUAUGAUGUAAAAACAGCAGAAUCAUCACCCUAUUCUCUCAAUUCUUUUUUUUUUUAAUUGUCCCGAUCUAUUAAAUUUCGGUAAAAAAUGAAAUCCGCGAAUCAACCAGAAACAACCGGCAACAGCACAACAACGAAAACAAGAAGCCCAUUGCGCAUGCUUGGUAACUUACGGAAUCUCAGCUUCGAGGGAGAAUUGUAUCUCACAGACGAAAUAAGCCUGCAUGACAUCCUCUUGAAGGAUUCAAAGAAGACUUUGGAAAUUUUAGGCCCCGGACAUCCAUCAUCAACUGAAGUCUGUAGAACAUUAACUCAAAGUUGACAAUAAGUAUGGUCAAGACUGACCAUAACAAAAGCUCGGAGACUUGCACAGAGGUGAAGCUUUUCUUUUCUACAUCAUACGUCUGCCGUGAUGUGAACGUCACGGACUUCGAAGAACAAAAUAUGGAUAGCCUGAGAGCAUGCGAACAGACAUCAGCCUUGACGACUUAGCAGAAAUCGAGUUUUUCGAUAAAGAUGACCGAGGAAGGCACAACGAAGCUUAUUUGUUUAUGUAAAGUGGUCAAGUGCGGUACCUACAUGACCACUUAUACCAGUUUGUGCAAGAAGAACACUGUUUGGUCUAUCCCCUAAACGCUACAUCUUCGUGGCCAAACAAUACCGAGAACUGAAUUCUUUUGACAGUAGUUUUCUUGGAUGAAAGAUCAAGCUCUUAAUUGGAGUACAUUUUCUGGUUCUAACUCGAAUACGGGACAGGACACCCCUCUGCAGUUAAUCUAAUGUAACAAAUUUGGUCUUACUGACUCGUAGAAUGGGCGUUUAGAUUAAAUGGACAUUAAACGUACUGCCAUCUGUCGAUUAAUUGCAACAUCAAAACACCUAAAUAAAACUACUUCUUUCCAUAUUUAAAUUAGAAUUUACUUCUAUCAUCUUUUUAAUAAACUUUGACCACCUUUAUUUAGCAAAGAAAAUUUCCUCAGUUAACUGCACAACGCAAUCUUAAACCAUCUAGAUUUUAGCACUAAGAAAAUAACUAUUUUUUUCUUGUGAAGCACAAAGUUACAUUUUAGGCUAUUUGUAUAGUGCCCAUCGCAAGUAUCGAAACCGUAUUUUUAGCGUCAUAAGCCCUCACACUUAACGCUGAACCACAAGGGGAGGAGUGGCAAGGAAGUAGGUGGGAACUUCUUAAAUCGUGUUGGUCUCAAGAUCUAUUUGUGCUUACACUUUUACUAAAACUUUUAUACUAUAUUGUUGUUGUUAAAAGAAGUUCAAGUGUUUGAGUAUCAAUAUAAAAUCAUCAGUGUCUUUUAUUGAAUAUUUUACAAUGGAAUAAAAUAUUAAAGGUUAGUUUUAUGUUGAAGGCUUGAGCACCCAAUAAAUUUGUUACUUCGCCUUCCUGCUUCGUGAGUAUUCCACCUGUGUUAUUGUUAAAAUGUCUCUUUCCUUUGCAUAUACAUGUUUAUUACAAUAAA
Molecule: long non-coding RNA, 1614 nt
Filed under: Limulus polyphemus (Atlantic horseshoe crab)
Lineage: Eukaryota; Metazoa; Arthropoda; Merostomata; Xiphosura; Limulidae
Description: uncharacterized LOC111085581
Source: RNAcentral